UACGUAGGUGGCAAGCGUUGUCCGGAUUUACUGGGCGUAAAGGGCGCGUAGGCGGCCUGUUAAGUCGAACGUGAAAUCCCCGGGCUCAACCCGGGAACUGCGUCCGAUACUGGCAGGCUUGAAUCCGGGAGAGGGAUGUGGAAUUCCAGGUGUAGCGGUGAAAUGCGUAGAUAUCUGGAGGAACACCGGUGGCGAAGGCGGCAUCCUGGACCGGUAUUGACGCUGAGGCGCGAAAGCCAGGGGAGCAAACGGG
RNAcentral lists this ribosomal RNA (253 nucleotides) under uncultured bacterium. Its description in RNAcentral is "partial 16S ribosomal RNA". It matches the Rfam family "Bacterial small subunit ribosomal RNA", at positions 524 to 776 of the family's 1533-position model. The record is from RNAcentral.